This is a non-coding RNA of Stegodyphus mimosarum, 73 nucleotides long. Lineage: Eukaryota; Metazoa; Arthropoda; Arachnida; Araneae; Eresidae. The record is from Rfam.
GCCUUAGUGGUGUAAUGGUCAGCACACUUGGCGCAUAUUCGAGAGGUCCGAGGUUCGAGUCCUGGUAAGGGCA